This is a non-coding RNA of Myotis lucifugus (little brown bat), 71 nucleotides long. Lineage: Eukaryota; Metazoa; Chordata; Mammalia; Chiroptera; Vespertilionidae. The record is from Rfam.
GCCGUGGUGGCUCAGUGGUUGAGCGUCAACCUAUGAACCAGGAAGUCAGGGUUUGAUUCCCAGUCAGGGCU